Molecule: non-coding RNA, 217 nt
Filed under: Skeletonema costatum
Lineage: Eukaryota; Bacillariophyta; Thalassiosirophyceae; Thalassiosirales; Thalassiosiraceae
Source: RNAcentral
ACAAGACUGGGGAGCCGUCAACGUAGGCCGUUCAUCGGCUGGACGUGUUGCCGUUCCCAAAACUGCGCAUGGAGUGACUCGUGCCAAGGCAAUGGGGCUUUUGGCUACUGAAAAGAAAUUUGGAGCUGGCGGAAACAGAUCAGCCCACACUGCCUCCGUCAAUGCCAAAAAAAUCGAAGAUAGUGAUGAACUCAAACUCAACAAGGUCGACAAAUCU